AAUAAAUAAUAAUAAUAUAGCACUUGGACAAAACUUCAAACAUUUUGAGACAAACGUUUCAGCUAAUGAAGGCAUUGGCUGAAAACAGCAUCUGCUUACAGUUUCAUGCCUAUUUAUUUAAGAGGUUUCCAGAUAGCACUUUCAACACUGUGGUGUACAUAUGCUGCAAUGUACUGUUAAGUGUAGUUAUGUAAGUCAACAUUAAUGACCCAAUCAUUGCAAUGUACUGAAGUAUUGUUAUAUAACUCAGCGUUAAUGACUCAAGCAUAACAUCUCUAAUCACAGUGGAAAGGAGUCUUUAAACCAGUUAAAUUAUUAAAAUAUAAACCUUCACUCUUUUGUAUUUUUUUUUUCAUCUUCUAAAGAGACUGAAAACCUCUUUAGCGAUGUUUUGAUUUUCAUAACCUUGGGCUCUUUCUAAAUGAUUUAAACAAGCCUAGCAUUUAAAUGCACCCAUGUUCAGAUGGAUUGUAUAGACCCACAGUAAUACCUGUUCAGGUGGAUUGAAUAGACCCACAAUAAUUUACCUGCCUGUACUCCACGAGACAGUUACAGCAGCUUGGCUCUAUCUUCCUACUGUCUACAGGACCGCUGGCCGUUUCUGAAGACACUGAAUCUGUAGCUAGAAUCUCGAUACAGAUCGCGCAGCUCAUGAAAUCAGCUCUCAUGUUUCUUUGUAACAAGGUGGAAACAGAAAAAAAGCCAGCCUUUGGGAAAUCUGAUAAGAGAACCACAUUAAGAUUAUUUAAAGAAAUGAACCAGUGUCAAUGUGGUUUACAAGUGCAUAAUUCCCAGUACAUACGUAUCUGCAUUCACCAGUGUAGUCCAGCGCUCACUGUUGAUCCCCUAUCUUAAUCUGAGAAGGCAAAAGCACCAUUACUGAGUGUUAAUGGUAGAUGCAGCAAGUGUGCUUACCAACUCUUAUUUUUCACUAAGUCAAUGAGGAAUUAAAAAAAAACUAUUUUUAAAAUGUUUAUCUACACAACUUAGGGUAGUAAACUGGGAACCGUGAUUUCAGAUGUCUAAGCAAACCAGUGUUAACGUAUGAUACACAUAACCUGUAAUUAAUUACUGUUGAGUAACACAAACAUAUGACUAAUUGAAUUGGUACAAAACACACAUAUCAACGGCACAGCCAGUUAGGAAGUCAGUCCGCAAAAAAAAACUACUCAAGAUCUAUUGAAUUAAUCUAAAUUACAGCACUUCUGAAACCAGAUCUGAGUAAUUUAAAAACAUAAGGAAUUAUUUUAACUUAUGCAAGGCUUGGUAAAUGAUACUUGUGCGCUGCAUACAGAUGGGGUUGUGUGCUUGUUUAUCCUCACUCUUUGGAAGGAAGGCAAGCAGCUGGCUUGGAAGCGUGUCCAGGGAGCAUCGCAGAAGGCAGCACUCUACUAAUGGCAAGAACACCAAAACACGUGCAAGGAAAUAUCUAGUGAUAACAGAGUCUGCUUUAAAUGCGUCAACAUGGAACCCAAAAAUCAAGGGUUUUGCUUGGUUGAUAUUUUAAUUGCUAGAGAAAAGAAAAAGCUGAACACUUUGUUUUCUAUUGUUUCUAACAUAUAUAAUUCCGACUUCCUGUUCUGAAAAGCAAUAUAUCAACGCGAGUCCUGUUUUUUUUUUUUUUUUUUUUAACCUUACUGGCAUGGCUAGAAAUUGGACUGGAAUUUACUCCCGUAUGCAAAUUACCAGCAUCUUCUCCAUCCCCCAAUGUUGCCAACUGUCGACAGUUUUUAGGGAGCCGUUUGCAUAGUGGCUUUUCGGGCAGCUGUUCACACGCGUGCCAAAGAUGACCCGUUCCAUCAAGAAAAUCUGUGCUCCUUUGGCAGGCAGUCUGCUGCAAAUAACAUUAGCAGGUUUACUUCCAGCGCAAAAACAAGUAGAUUUAAUAUUGCCAGGGAAGGGGUUGGGAGAAAUGGCAUGGGUUUAGUGCCUUCCUUCUGCCUGUGUAACUCCAAGGUGGAUCAGAGCUAAAGGCUUUGUCUUUGCCUGUGAAAAUAGGUCCUGUAUUCCAGCAAACCACACAUUCUAGGAACACUGAAAAGGGGACCUUCUGGGACCAAUGAAACACAAACAGCUUUUAGAAGAGAAACAUUUUCAUGACCUGACCUGCUACUUGUAUAGACAAGUGUCCCUCCUUGUGUCCGUGUGAACAGUCUUCCCAUUGAGCUCCACAAUUAAACACUACAGCCUUACAGUAAGAAAGAAAGGCAUUGGAAGCCUGCCAGGGGGAUGCAGAGCAGCACAUCCGCAAGCUUGGUUUUAACUGUAGUGGAAUCAGAAUCCUGAUCGUUCUACAUGUGUGCGGAAUUCUAUAUACAACCCAAUCCUGGCCUAACCACUACCUGCAUGCAUUUAAAUAGCCCUUCAAUAAGCAUUUUUACCAAAUGCCUGCACAAUAAGUUAUAUUCUUGAGAAAUAAAAGGGCUUAUGCACUUGUUGUCACAUAACACAGGAACAUUGUUUCAAUGGCUACAAACAAGAACUGAUUGAAGUAAAACAUUCUUCAUUUGCUUAAGGUUUAAAAUGCACGGUACUGACAAAGUGCCAUUGAUUUAAAGAUAAACAUUGCGAACAUGGCGCAAAAAAAUAGCAAAUACAUUUUUAGGAAGCAAAAGAAAAACAAUAAACUGCUCAUUAAUAUGAAUCCCCUUAAAUUUGAAAGCGCAAAUGCAAUCUUUUUAAAUAAUUUUUAUUUUGUUAUUAUUAUUAUGAGAGCCGAUGUAUAGGAUUUUAUUACACAAUUAGACUUGAGGGUUAGCAACCCAUGUUUAUAUGAUGGUCAUGCAUUUGCAUCUUUUUAAACUUUUUUUUGUUUGCAAACGAGGUACUGAAAGGUGUACGUUCAGAAUUGCACAAGAGAGCAAAGACAUCGGGCAUGUCACAAGCUCCUUGACUGACGUGUCUUUUCUAUGCAUUUCCUCUGCUCUCUUGCCCUUCAGAUUAUUUGGCUAUAAGAGCAUAUCACAAAAACUGAACUGAUUUAAUGGUUCCAGCUGGAAACAUUCUGUUAGCUCUGCAAAUUAAAUGUUGCAAUAGCGUUUCAUUAACAUAUAAUAACAUCAAAUGUUGGUCAAUUAAAGGUCUAAUAAUUCAGUGCUAAUUAGUAUUUAAUGUGUAGCAUGACAGUCUACAGAGACGCAUGUAGUAUUAAUGGAUGUGUACUGACAAUGGAUCUUUAAAACAACCAAGCAGUUGCGUCCUAUUAAAUGUUAACGAGCUAUGGAAUGCUUUGUCAGUUAAUCAAGAUACAGUGCUAGAAACACACUGCACACACAGCACCAGCAACUUCAUCACCAAUUCCUUCUGCUGAAUCUUUAACCACAACUUUGUGUUACAUGCAAAAAAAAGCAACGUUCCCCCAAAUGUCCACCAUUAGAUCAAAAGACCCAAAGCAUCUGUUUCUAAUUGACUUUUUUUUUUUUUUUUUUUUAACAAAAGUGUAAAGGAGUGUAAUACAACAUAUCUGGGAUCCCUGGAAGCUGCCAAUAAAUAAUUCAAUUAGAAAUCCACUGCCUUUUAAAAGAGGGGAUCUUAUAUGAUAAAUCAUUGACCCCUUACUUCCAUGUUCAGGUAACUUAUCUGUGUUCAGUGUCUUGCCUAUAAUUGCAGUUCUUUUGCUCCAGUUAGGGAGCAUCUCAAUUUUGUAUGCUUCAUUUCUAUGUAAAAUAAUAAUAAUAAUAAUAAUAAUAAUAAUAAUAAUAAUAAUAAUAAUAAUGAAAGAAAAAAGUAAAGUGUAUAGAAUUGGAAACUGAAGUCUUUGUUCAUAUGGGGGAAGAAAAACAAAAGUAUUUACACAACAGUGUCUUCAUUACCUUCAUUAAAUCAACCAGUAGAUGCUGUAUUAAUUAUAUGAAGUCUUUGAAUGUUUCUACAAAUGAAGGGAUACAAAUGUGUGUGUGUGUAAAAUAUAUAUAUAAAAUGAAAUAGUGUUGAAAAGCACUUUGAGAGCUUCGUGCGCCAUAGUAUUAAGAAAAAUAAAACAAACUGUUAACAGGGAAAAGGUACCCUUAACAUAAGGGUGUGUGGGUAAUGGUGGAGAGGAGUCUAGUAUAACCCACUGACUUGCAAAACUCCAGCAGACCUUAGUGAGUUAACUUCAAGCAGCAUGAAACGCAGUGCACUGUGUGAGCGUGUCAAUCAGACCCUUCCUAUUAGCAGAGAGGAAAAAUACCAGAAGCACCAGGGUAUGUGCAAUGCAAUCCUAUGCAGAUACUAACCAGCAUGCACCAGCAGGGCCCCACAUACAGUACUACCUAGUCCUCCAGAAAGCUAUUCUUUAUUCAAGUGGAAAUAUGAGGAUGAAGAGGCAGAAUGAACAAGUCCAAGUGAAAAGAACAAAAGUCCUUCAGCAGUGGCUCACAUGAAGGGAGGUUUAGUUCAGCAGUGGCUCACAAAGAGGUUUAGUUCUGCAGUGGCUCACACAAAGGGAGGUUUAGUUCUGCAGUGGCUCACACGAAGGGAGGUUUAGUUCUGCAGUGGCUCACACGAAGGGAGGUUUAGUUCUGCAGUGGCUCACACGAGGGGAGGUUUAGUUCUGCAGUGGCUGACACAGAGGGUUGGUUCUGCAGUAGCUGACACAGAGGUUUAGUUCAGCAAUGGCUCACAUGAAGGGAGGUUUAGUUCUGCAGUGGCUGACACAGAGGUUUAGUUCUGCAGUGGCUCAUAUGAAGGGAGGUUUAGUUCUGCAGUGGCUCACAAAGAGGUUUAGUUCUGCAGUGGCUCACAAAGAGGUUUAGUUCUGCAGAGGCGCACACAAAGGGAGGUUUAGUUCUGCAGUGGCUCACACGAAGGGAGGUUUAGUUCUGCAGUGGCUCACACGAAGGGAGGUUUAGUUCUGCAGUGGCUCACACGAAGGGAGGUUUAGUUCUGCAGUGGCUCACACAAGGGGAGGUUUAGUUCUGCAGUGGCUCACACGAAGGGAGGUUUAGUUCUGCAGUGGCUCACACGAAGGGAGGUUUAGUUGCCAGUGGAAAGGACCAUGUUGUAAACAUGUAUUGCAAUGACACAAGCAUGCUAUCCUUGUAAAGUUUUUAGCGAGUUUGUUUAUGUACAGAGCAGGGUAACUGUUGGAGCUAUUGAUUACAUAUUGUAUAGUUGUAAGGGUUGAUUUUUAUUGCUUUAUGUAUAAAUAAAUAAAAAGGAAUAUUCCAUCUGUUAGCUUUGGAUUUCCAAUGUGUUGCACAAGUUUUGCAGAUCCGUUUUGGUUUGUCUGUUCUUUUGUUAUUUUUUUUUGCUUAUUGUAUGUUUUAUUUUAUUAAAAAACAGUAAUAUGUAAAUGUACAAAACUUUUAAA
Long non-coding RNA from Polyodon spathula (Mississippi paddlefish), 5293 nucleotides. RefSeq lists it as uncharacterized. Lineage: Eukaryota; Metazoa; Chordata; Actinopteri; Acipenseriformes; Polyodontidae. The transcript is spliced from 2 exons. The record is from RefSeq and is a predicted model, not a curated record.